GAAGGCAUUUGCCAAGAACGUUUUCAUUAAUCAAGAACGAAAGUUAGGGGAUCGAAGAUGAUCAGAUACCGUCGUAGUCUUAACCAUAAACUAUGCCGACUAGGGAUCGGGUGUUGUCCUUUUUUUGGCGCACUCGGCACCUUACGAGAAAUCAAAGUUUUUGGGUUCUGGGGGGAGUAUGGUCGCAAGGCUGAAACUUAAAGGAAUUGACGGAAGGGCACCACCAGGAGUGGAGCCUGCGGCUUAAUUUGACUCAACACGGGGAAACUCACCAGGUCCAGACACAAUAAGGAUUGACAGAUUGAGAGCUCUUUCUUGAUUUUGUGGGUGGUGGUGCAUGGCCGUUCUUAGUUGGUGGAGUGAUUUGUCUGCUUAAUUGCGAUAACGAACGAGACCUUAACCUACUAAAUAGUGCUGCUAGCUUUUGCUGGUAUAGUCACUUCUUAGAGGGACUACCGAUUUCAAGUCGGUGGAAGUUUGAGGCAAUAACAGGUCUGUGAUGCCCUUAGACGUUCUGGGCCGCACGCGCGCUACACUGACGGAGCCAGCGAGUAUUAACCUUGGCCGAGAGGUCUGGGAAAUCUUGUGAAACUCCGUCGUGCUGGGGAUAGAGCAUUGUAAUUAUUGCUCUUCAACGAGGAAUUCCUAG
Molecule: ribosomal RNA, 649 nt
Filed under: Yamadazyma scolyti
Lineage: Eukaryota; Fungi; Ascomycota; Pichiomycetes; Serinales; Debaryomycetaceae
Description: SSU rRNA
Rfam family: Eukaryotic small subunit ribosomal RNA
Source: RNAcentral